GGCUCCUUGGUCAAGCGGUUAAGACACCGCCCUUUCACGGCGGUAACACGGGUUCAAGUCCCGUAGGAGUCA
RNAcentral lists this transfer RNA (72 nucleotides) under Staphylococcus aureus. Its description in RNAcentral is "tRNA-Glu". It matches the Rfam family "tRNA". From Rfam's summary of the family: Transfer RNA (tRNA) molecules are approximately 80 nucleotides in length. Lineage: Bacteria; Bacillati; Bacillota; Bacilli; Caryophanales; Staphylococcaceae. The record is from RNAcentral.